This 159-nucleotide ribosomal RNA is filed under the name Rhynchostegium riparioides. Its description in RNAcentral is "5.8S ribosomal RNA". It matches the Rfam family "5.8S ribosomal RNA". From Rfam's summary of the family: 5.8S ribosomal RNA (5.8S rRNA) is a component of the large subunit of the eukaryotic ribosome. It is transcribed by RNA polymerase I as part of the 45S precursor that also contains 18S and 28S rRNA. The record is from RNAcentral. Lineage: Eukaryota; Viridiplantae; Streptophyta; Bryopsida; Hypnales; Brachytheciaceae. RNAcentral also lists the same sequence under 2 other names.
AAAACAACUCUCAGCAACGGAUAUCUUGGCUCUUGCAACGAUGAAGAACGCAGCGAAAUGCGAUACGUAGUGUGAAUUGCAGAAUUCCGCGAAUCAUCGAGUCUUUGAACGCAAGUUGCGCCCGAGGCUUGUCCGAGGGCAUUUCCGCUAGAGCGUCAC